UACGGAUGGGGCUAGCUGUGUUCGGAAUUACUGGGCGUAAAGCGCGCGUAGGCGGACCUGCAAGUCGGGGGUGAAAGCCCGAGGCUCAACCUCGGAACUGCCUUCGAUACUGCGGGUCUCGAGUCCGGGAGAGGUGAGUGGAAUUCCUAGUGUAGAGGUGAAAUUCGUAGAUAUUAGGAAGAACACCAGUGGCGAAGGCGGUUCACUGGCCCGGUACUGACGCUGAGGUGCGAAAGCGUGGGGAGCAAACAGG
RNAcentral lists this ribosomal RNA (253 nucleotides) under uncultured bacterium. RNAcentral's name for it is "partial 16S ribosomal RNA". It matches the Rfam family "Bacterial small subunit ribosomal RNA", at positions 524 to 776 of the family's 1533-position model. The record is from RNAcentral.